This 504-nucleotide ribosomal RNA is filed under the name uncultured bacterium. Its description in RNAcentral is "partial 16S ribosomal RNA". It matches the Rfam family "Bacterial small subunit ribosomal RNA", at positions 30 to 523 of the family's 1533-position model. The record is from RNAcentral.
AUUGAACGCUGGCGGCAGGCCUAACACAUGCAAGUCGAACGGUAGCACAGAGAGCUUGCUCUCGGGUGACGAGUGGCGGACGGGUGAGUAACGUCUGGGAAACUGCCCAAUGGAGGGGGAUAACUACUGGAAACGGUAGCUAAUACCGCAUAACGUCGCAAGACCAAAGUGGGGGACCUUCGGGCCUCACACCAUCCGAUGUGCCCAGAUGGGAUUAGCUAGUAGGUGGGGUAAUGGCUCACCUAGGCGACGAUCCCUAGCUGGUCUGAGAGGAUGACCAGCCACACUGGAACUGAGACACGGUCCAGACUCCUACGGGAGGCAGCAGUGGGGAAUAUUGCACAAUGGGCGCAAGCCUGAUGCAGCCAUGCCGCGUGUAUGAAGAAGGCCUUCGGGUUGUAAAGUACUUCCAGCGGGGAGGAAGGCGGUGAAGUUAAUAACUUCACCGAUUGACGUUACCCGCAGAAGAAGCACCGGCUAACUCCGUGCCAGCCGCCGCAGUAA